Molecule: ribosomal RNA, 306 nt
Filed under: uncultured prokaryote
Description: partial 16S ribosomal RNA
Source: RNAcentral
CCCUAUGGGGCGCAGCAGGUCGUUGUUAUGGAUCACACAUGUGCCGGCUCCGUUUGCGCCCAUGCCUGUUGUUCUGCCGGAGAUGAGCAGCCGCCUUGACGAAUCACUAUUUGCUGGUGAGGCGCGGAUGGAAAGGGCCUCUGACUGGCUUGACGGCAUCAACCUCCUUUAUGUGGCUUUUACAAGGGCAGUGGAUGCCCUGCUGGUCAUGGCCCCGGAAGUGACCAGGACAACGGGGGGAACCGCCAGUGCUGCUAGCCUUAUCAAUGCGGCUGUUGCAAAGCUGUCCGAUGAUUUUAUUGUCAC